Molecule: transfer RNA, 85 nt
Filed under: Acidobacteriota bacterium
Lineage: Bacteria; Pseudomonadati; Acidobacteriota
Description: tRNA-Ser
Rfam family: tRNA
About the family: Transfer RNA (tRNA) molecules are approximately 80 nucleotides in length. Their secondary structure includes four short double-helical elements and three loops (D, anti-codon, and T loops). Further hydrogen bonds mediate the characteristic L-shaped molecular structure. tRNAs have two regions of fundamental functional importance: the anti-codon, which is responsible for specific mRNA codon recognition, and the 3' end, to which the tRNAs corresponding amino acid is attached (by aminoacyl-tRNA synthetases). tRNAs cope with the degeneracy of the genetic code in two manners: having more than one tRNA (with a specific anti-codon) for a particular amino acid; and 'wobble' base-pairing, i.e. permitting non-standard base-pairing at the 3rd anti-codon position.
Source: RNAcentral
GGAGAGGUGACGAAACGGUAGCCGUAACGGUUUGCUAAACCGUCGAGAAAUUCUCGUGCAGGUUCAAGUCCUGUUCUCUCCGCCA